GGAUGUGUGGGCAAUCUGGCAGCGACAUCUGUCCCCCCUUGAUCUCAGGGGGUUGAUUCGGCUUAUCUGCCUGUAACUAGGCAGGUGUCGCCUUUCUCCCUCAAUGCCCCAUGUGCGUUCCUCCCGAAGCUGCGCGCUUGGUGGAAGAGGACUACCACCCUGAUACAAGAGGACCAUUCCUCAGAAGUAGCUGCGCUCCCCUGCUUGAACCUCCAACAAGCUCUCAAGACUAGACUCUCAAGACUCUCAGGUUGUGUUGCAGUCCAUAUUUCCCUAUUUAAUUUGGAUAAUA
This 292-nucleotide small nuclear RNA is filed under the name Chinchilla lanigera (long-tailed chinchilla). Its description in RNAcentral is "7SK RNA (ENSCLAG00000021708.1)". It matches the Rfam family "7SK RNA". From Rfam's summary of the family: 7SK was discovered as an abundant small nuclear RNA in the mid-70s but a possible function has only recently been suggested. Two independent studies have found that 7SK RNA binds the CDK9/cyclin T complex (known as elongation factor P-TEFb). P-TEFb activates transcription by phosphorylating the C-terminal domain of RNA polymerase II. The record is from RNAcentral. Lineage: Eukaryota; Metazoa; Chordata; Mammalia; Rodentia; Chinchillidae.